UACGUAGGGCGCAAGCGUUAUCCGGAAUUAUUGGGCGUAAAGAGCUCGUAGGCGGUUUGUCGCGUCUGCUGUGAAAGACCGGGGCUCAACUCCGGUUCUGCAGUGGGUACGGGCAGACUAGAGUGCAGUAGGGGAGACUGGAAUUCCUGGUGUAGCGGUGAAAUGCGCAGAUAUCGGGAGGAACACCGGUGGCGAAGGCGGCCGUCUGGGACAUUCCUGACACUGGAGGUUCGAAAGCUCGGGGAGCAAACAG
This 253-nucleotide ribosomal RNA is filed under the name uncultured bacterium. RNAcentral describes it as "partial 16S ribosomal RNA". It matches the Rfam family "Bacterial small subunit ribosomal RNA", at positions 524 to 775 of the family's 1533-position model. The record is from RNAcentral.